Molecule: ribosomal RNA, 294 nt
Filed under: uncultured bacterium
Lineage: Bacteria
Description: partial 16S ribosomal RNA
Rfam family: Bacterial small subunit ribosomal RNA
Source: RNAcentral
AUUGAACGCUGGCGGCAUGCCUUACACAUGCAAGUCGAACGGCAGCACGGGAGCAAUCCUGGUGGCGAGUGGCGAACGGGUGAGUAAUACAUCGGAACGUGCCCAUUAGUGGGGGAUAGCCCGGCGAAAGCCGGAUUAAUACCGCAUACGACCUACGGGUGAAAGCAGGGGAUCGCAAGACCUUGCGCUAUUGGAGCGGCCGAUGUCAGAUUAGCUAGUUGGNGGGUAAAGCCUACCAAGGCGACGAUCUGUAGCUGGUCUGAGAGGACGACCAGCCACACUGGGACUGAGACA